Molecule: small nuclear RNA, 105 nt
Organism: Manis pentadactyla (Chinese pangolin)
Lineage: Eukaryota; Metazoa; Chordata; Mammalia; Pholidota; Manidae
Source: RefSeq, a predicted model, not a curated record
GUGCUUGCUUCCGCAGCACAUGUACUAAAACUGUAAUGAUAGAGAAGAUUAGCAUGGUCUCUGUGCUAGGAUGACAUGAAAAUUCAUGAAGUGUUUCAUAUUUUU